This 766-nucleotide ribosomal RNA is filed under the name Staphylococcus aureus. RNAcentral describes it as "bacterial SSU rRNA". It matches the Rfam family "Bacterial small subunit ribosomal RNA", at positions 28 to 776 of the family's 1533-position model. Lineage: Bacteria; Bacillati; Bacillota; Bacilli; Caryophanales; Staphylococcaceae. The record is from RNAcentral.
GAUGAACGCUGGCGGCGUGCCUAAUACAUGCAAGUCGAGCGAACGGACGAGAAGCUUGCUUCUCUGAUGUUAGCGGCGGACGGGUGAGUAACACGUGGAUAACCUACUUAUAAGACUGGGAUAACUUCGGGAAACCGGAGCUAAUACCGGAUAAUAUUUUGAACCGCAUGGUUCAAAAGUGAAAGACGGUCUUGCUGUCACUUAUAGAUGGAUCCGCGCUGCAUUAGCUAGUUGGUAAGGUAACGGCUUACCAAGGCAACGAUGCAUAGCCGACCUGAGAGGGUGAUCGGCCACACUGGAACUGAGACACGGUCCAGACUCCUACGGGAGGCAACAGUAGGGAAUCUUCCGCAAUGGGCGAAAGCCUGACGGAGCAACGCCGCGUGAGUGAUGAAGGUCUUCGGAUCGUAAAACUCUGUUAUUAGGGAAGAACAUAUGUGUAAGUAACUGUGCACAUCUUGACGGUACCUAAUCAGAAAGCCACGGCUAACUACGUGCCAGCAGCCGCGGUAAUACGUAGGUGGCAAGCGUUAUCCGGAAUUAUUGGGCGUAAAGCGCGCGUAGGCGGUUUUUUAAGUCUGAUGUGAAAGCCCACGGCUCAACCGUGGAGGGUCAUUGGAAACUGGAAAACUUGAGUGCAGAAGAGGAAAGUGGAAUUCCAUGUGUAGCGGUGAAAUGCGCAGAGAUAUGGAGGAACACCAGUGGCGAAGGCGACUUUCUGGUCUGUAACUGACGCUGAUGUGCGAAAGCGUGGGGAUCAAACAGG